RNAcentral lists this ribosomal RNA (399 nucleotides) under uncultured bacterium. RNAcentral's name for it is "bacterial SSU rRNA". It matches the Rfam family "Bacterial small subunit ribosomal RNA", at positions 64 to 507 of the family's 1533-position model. The record is from RNAcentral.
GAACGCCCGUAGCAAUACGGGAGUGGCAGACGGGAGAGUAACACGUGGGAACGUACCCUUCAGUUCGGAACAACCCAGGGAAACUUGGGCUAAUACCGGAUACGUCCGCAAGGAGAAAGAUUUAUCGCUGAAGGAUCGGCCCGCGUCUGAUUAGCUAGUUGGUGGGGUAAUGGCCCACCAAGGCGACGAUCAGUAGCUGGUCUGAGAGGAUGAUCAGCCUCACUGGGACUGAGACACGGCCCAGACUCCUACGGGAGGCAGCAGUGGGGAAUAUUGGACAAUGGGCGCAAGCCUGAUCCAGCCAUGCCGCGUGGGUGAUGAAGGCCCUAGGGUUGUAAAGCCCUUUCGGCGGGGAAGAUAAUGACGGUACCCGCAGAAGAAGCCCCGGCUAACUUCGUG